This 254-nucleotide ribosomal RNA is filed under the name uncultured bacterium. RNAcentral describes it as "partial 16S ribosomal RNA". It matches the Rfam family "Bacterial small subunit ribosomal RNA", at positions 524 to 776 of the family's 1533-position model. The record is from RNAcentral.
UACGGAGGGUGCAAGCGUUGCUCGGAAUUAUUGGGCGUAAAGGGUAGGUAGGUGGUCUUAUUUGUCUGGGGUGAAAGCCUUGAGCUUAACUCAAGAAGUGCCCCAGAAACGGUAAGACUAGAGUCCUGGAGAGGGUCGUGGAACUUCCCGGUGUAGCGGUGAAAUGCGUAGAGAUCGGGAGGAACACCAGAGGCGAAGGCGGCAUCCUGGACCAAUACUGACACUGAAAAGCGAAAGCCAGGGGAGCAAACGGG